This 498-nucleotide ribosomal RNA is filed under the name uncultured bacterium. RNAcentral's name for it is "partial 16S ribosomal RNA". It matches the Rfam family "Bacterial small subunit ribosomal RNA", at positions 30 to 523 of the family's 1533-position model. The record is from RNAcentral.
AUUGGACGCUGGCGGCAUGCCUUACACAUGCAAGUCGAACGGUAACAGGUCUUCGGAUGCUGACGAGUGGCGAACGGGUGAGUAAUACAUCGGAACGUGCCCGAUCGUGGGGGAUAACGAAGCGAAAGCUUUGCUAAUACCGCAUAAGAUCUAAGGAUGAAAGCAGGGGACCGCAAGGCCUUGCGCGAACGGAGCGGCCGAUGGCAGAUUAGGUAGUUGGUGGGAUAAAAGCUUACCAAGCCGACGAUCUGUAGCUGGUCUGAGAGGACGACCAGCCACACUGGGACUGAGACACGGCCCAGACUCCUACGGGAGGCAGCAGUGGGGAAUUUUGGACAAUGGGCGAAAGCCUGAUCCAGCCAUGCCGCGUGCAGGAUGAAGGCCUUCGGGUUGUAAACUGCUUUUGUACGGAACGAAAAGACUCUUUCUAAUAAAGAGGGUCCAUGACGGUACCGUAAGAAUAAGCACCGGCUAACUACGUGCCAGCCGCCGCGGUAA